UACAGAGGGGGCAAGCGUUAUUCGGAAUUAUUGGGCGUAAAGGGCGCGUAGGCGGCCUGGCAAGUGACGGGUGAAAGCCCUCGGCUCAACCGAGGAACUGCCUGUCAUACUGCCGGGCUUGAGUCCGGGAGAGGUGAGUGGAAUUCCCAGUGUAGCGGUGAAAUGCGUAGAUAUUGGGAGGAACACCAGUGGCGAAGGCGGCUCACUGGUCCGGUACUGACGCUGAGGUGCGAAAGCGUGGGGAGCAAACAGG
Molecule: ribosomal RNA, 253 nt
Filed under: uncultured bacterium
Lineage: Bacteria
Description: partial 16S ribosomal RNA
Rfam family: Bacterial small subunit ribosomal RNA
Source: RNAcentral